Molecule: ribosomal RNA, 120 nt
Filed under: Eptatretus burgeri (inshore hagfish)
Lineage: Eukaryota; Metazoa; Chordata; Myxini; Myxiniformes; Myxinidae
Source: RNAcentral
UUUUUUAAAAAUACUUGUGACCCGUCAGUUUGAACGCAGCACAUGCCCCACAAAUCUCGGAUUGGAGCCUUGUUAGUGCUUGGAUGGGAGACCUUCCGAGAAGGCUGGGUGUUGUAGAUU